Molecule: long non-coding RNA, 1162 nt
Filed under: Homo sapiens (human)
Lineage: Eukaryota; Metazoa; Chordata; Mammalia; Primates; Hominidae
Description: HSALNT0285903
Source: RNAcentral
CUCUUGUGUUCUUUGAUCAUCUUCCACUUCCUGGAAUUGCUUGAUGAGUUCAAAGGCCCUUCACAGUGAGCUCAGAUCAGGACAAAGUGCACACAUGUCUCUUAGUGAAGCAUCUAUCCCAGCUGGCUCACAUCCCAAGAGAAGCGAAUGAGCUCUUCCCCUACACGAGGCCCCAAAAUUAGAGAGCGGUGAUGAGCAGCUCUGUUGCAGAUCAUACCCCUGGAUACCUUCAAGAAAAAAAGCAUCUGUUUGGCCUUGAAUUAAGUUAUUUGGUCUCUGAUUGUUGCUCUGCACCUCUCCCUGCACAAAACCCCGGAGAAAGGGAAGCAAACAUUGGCUCCCAGAGAACUGGCACGUACUCGGAAGUGAAGAUGCUCCUUGAUUCAUGAUUGGGUUACAUCCUAAUAAAUCCAUUAGAGACAGAGCCUCACUCUGUCACCCAGGCUGGAGUACAGUGGCAUGAUCAUGGCCUACUGAAGCCUCAAGAGAUUUCUGGGCUGAAGAGAUCCUCCCAUCUCAGCCUCCUGAGUAGCUGGGACUACAGGUGAGCACCACCUCAUCCAGCUAAUUUUUAAAUUUUUCUUUUCAUAAGACAGGGUCUCACUUUGUUGCCCAGGCUGGUCUCAAAUGCCUGACUUCAAACAAUCCUCCUGCUUUGGCCUCCCAAAAUGCUGGGAUUACAAGAGUGAGCCCCCACCCGCUGUCAUGACUGCAUUUUAAAAUGCUCAGGUGCUGUACAAAUGAAAAGGAUAAACAUUAUUUUUCUUUUGUAGUAUUGUUAAACAUGUAUAUCACUUUUUUAAAAUGUUUUGAAGAACCUUCAUGCCUGUGGUCCUAUAGAGUGUCAUGAGAGCCCUGGGAAGUAAAUUAGGCAUCAAGUUAACUGGUAAGAAAACUGAGAUAAGAGAGGUUGUGUGAUCUGCGCAAGGUUGUUCAGCAAAACUAAGACUGGAUCCCAGGACUGUUAAAUCAAAAGCAGUGAUUCUUAGCCAGGCACAGUGGCUCACGCCUGUAAUCCCAGCACUUUGGGAGGCCGAGGCGGGCAGACGGUUUGAGCUCAGUAGUUCAUAGACCAGCCUGGGCAACAUGGCAAAACCCCACCUCUACAAAAAUAUAUAUAUAUUAAAAAUUAGCCAGUCAUGGUGGCACGCACCUAUAGUCC